CUUCAUCUCGAAAGCUGAAUUGGCCUUUUUGCGUGAGAGGACUGGGAAUCUGUGGAUCACCCUAGUGCCGGGGUUUGAAUCAAAUAAGGUCGGGGUGAGAGUCAUGGGUUAAGUAAUCCUGCAUAGAGACUCAUUCUAAGAGAAUAAAUACAGCAGGAAAAGGGUUCAGUGAACUCUCGUGUGGUAUUAGAGUAAAACCCCAAGGGAAGGGGAUUGCUGUCUCAAAAGUGUUUAGGAGACAGCAAGGUUAAGGGUGGUUUUAGACUUGGAACCACCAGUGGCUGAGUUGGACUCCCCUAAGAUGUACUGGGUACGUGGUUUCUUGGUUUACGAAAACUAAGGCAUUGAACUGGACCCGCCCAAUGUGAGAGGGGACCUCUGGAGGUAAGAGUAAUUCAAAGGGAAAAGAUAACGGUACCACGAGAGUGUGAGAGAGAGUUGAACACUUUUCCAGUUACACUAAAAAUGGGCUCCGGCAAAAGCAAACAAAGGGAGAGUCCACACAGGACUUGGAAUGGCCAACCAAAAAUACAAUACGUGCUGAAUAAUCAUGGCCCAGAGUCUGUAAAGCAUUUAAAAUUGUGGAUCAAGGAAUGUGGUUUUCCAGAAGGAGGAAGUUUUAGUAAAAGCCAGCUAGAAAUAUUGAGGUUGAGGUUGGAGGAGAGAGAGAAGGAGAAAAAGAAGGGAAAAAUAGAAUCUGUGAAUUGCAGUGCUUAUAACAAGUGGAAGGCUGAUAUCAGGGAAAGGAGAUUUUAAGUAAAAGAUAGAUCAAAUACGCGUACAAACACCAGUGUACAUGCAGACACGUGCGGGAAAACAACCUAAUGAAGCGGUACAGUAUCUUAAGUCUGUUUCAGACCCUGACCUUGAUGACUGCCCUCCAAAACCUACAGCCCCCCCCACUACGAGAUCCGCCUGGCGAAGGUUCCAAGUCAGCAGCCCUGACUCAGGGUCUGCUGAAUCACCGGUAGCAUCUUGUACCCCCAACAGAUCGAAGCAAGAAGGCCAAGACAAGUAUAACUGGCCAGCUGUAAAUGUCCUUGCCAGAGUAGCCAACCCACAAGCAGAAGAGAAUGGAGACGUUAAUGCUUUUGUUGCAGCGCUGGCAACCGUCUAUAGGGAGGCAAUCCCAGUGCGAAUGGACAUGACUAAAAUAGCAAUGUGUAAACAACAAGAAGAUGAGACAGUGUCCCAGUACCUUAUGCGCCUCACUGAAGUCCAUAAUGUCCAUACUAGACUGAGACCACCUGAAGACAUAACGGCAGCAGAAAUCACACCGUAUGAGGCACACCUGAGGAACAGCUUCAUCAAUGGAAUGAAGGAUGAAAUAGCGAAAAAGAUGGUCACCCAGCCGUUGGAGGAAGGUGCUGAAGGAAAAGAGGUCGCGGAAGAGGCGCUGGCAGAGGUAGAUCUGGCGGGUGCUUUGUUUGCGGAGCAAUGGACCACUGGGCGAGGCAAUGCCCGCACAGACAGUCCCAAUCGGCCCUGGAGGCUGAGCGACAGGGUGACCAACAGGUGAAUGCUGAGGUAGAGGUGGGAAGCCCACACAAGAUACAGCAGGUGUACGGGAGUUACAGUCACAGGCCACACCAGGAGAAAAGCAUGAGUGGAUGAAAGCGGGUUGCAGUGUGCGGGAAGGAGUAUGGUGUAGUCCCAAUGAAUCAAGUGAAAGCAGCACUACCCCAACCAUCAGAAGGGAAGCUGCAUGAUCUAGAACCUGGAGACUGGAUAGUGGUGAAAGACUUCUGGAGGAAAAACUGGAAGGCGAAGAGGUGGCUGGGACCGUGUCAAGUGCUCCUCACAACACAGACAGCAGUUAAGAUCGCAGAAAGAGCCAUGUGGAUACAGGCCAGCCAUUGCAAGCCUGUAGCUGGGCCUGAGGAGACAUCGGACAGCACUGGAACCAAUUAAGUGCAAGUAGUGAUUAGAAGCCUCAUACGAAAAUGGGGUUGCCCCAGCUCACACUUCUGGCAAGCGCCCUGGUAGGACUAUUCAUAAGGGCAGGGGCAUUGCGUGGACCCCACCCUACCAUGGCUUUGACAAGUGUGACAUGUGAACAUGGGCUGCGUACAGGGCACACCAGAGCAAGUGACGAUACCACCACAAAGCUGUGUUUCAGGGAGGUGCCAUCUGAGGAAAGGCCUGGUGUUUCCUAAACAUUUUCUGAUGUAUAGCUAUUCUGGCUCUGUAUUUCUUUUAUUGUUGCUGUAGUUGUCCUUGUUGUCACAAAAUGACAAAAAGGAGAAAAAUGUAAUGGAAAAUUAUCCAUUUACUGUGAAAUUUGAAAGAGAAUGCUUUUCUUUAACUUAAUGCUGUAUAAGUUAAACGCUACUUUGAUGAAGGCCUGUAGUUAGCUUAUCUCUGUUUGAAUUCUGUAAACAUUCAACUCGACCUUGCGAUAGUCGAACUCAGUGAAAGCUAAAGAGCUGUUAUGUCUAAGACUAGGGGAUUUGCCCUUGAGAGUGUGAUAAGAAACAGAAUAAAGCAAGUGUCUGUAAAAUGUUAAGGCACACUUUUACAUGAAGGCAUCUAGCAUUUGUAUACUGGAGUCACUUCUGCAGAGUUAACAAUAAAGCUCCUUUCUUUGCUCUUGCUAAUAGUUGUGUCAAGUCGAUUUAAUUUCCAUGACAGCUACAUAAUUCAAGAUUUGUUUAUCUGUCCUCUACAACAUUAUUUUAAUUCAUUGACGAGUAAGUUGACUAAUUCUUUUCAAACUUCAUCCCAAGAUUUUGCAACACAAUUGAUUAAAUAGACAUAUCACUUACUUUAUGUUCCAAUGUGAAAUCAAUCAUUUUCCUUUGCUCCUCUUCUGCUUUGCGGCCUAUUUGCAUAUUUGUCCAUGUACUCGCAUAUAUCCCAAUUUACCCCCUCAGCUUUUCCUGAUUCGGUAUUAACUAUAAAUUGGAACAAGUUUCCAAAUCUAAGCAAUGAUACUUCCACGCAAAAGUUUGAGAAAUCUAGCUAAACUAAAAGUGGGGUUUCUACAGUCUAUUUUAGAUAAGGAUAGGAUAGAAUGUUGCUGCAAUGCUAGCUACUGUUCAAUAGCUUCCUUGUAGGCAUUGCUUAGACUUGCAUGUGAAAGCAAAUUACUUAAGCAAAUUAGCAAAGAAAAGCAAAGUUGUCAUAACAUGGAAAAUCCACCCAUUGCAUUAAUAUUUGGAUAAUUUCACUUGUUUUACUGAAAAGAAAAUAUCAUUAUUGAACAAAAGUGGAUCCAUUAAGCUUCUAAUGGUGUUUAAUGGAAGAGCUUAAGGAUCACAUGUUCAGAUAAUUCAUCAUGUGGUUGUGUUAUUAAAGAAUUUCAGUGGGGAUGAAAAUGCAAAUUAUGCAACUACUUAAUCUCUCAGUGUUUCCAUCUACAUGUAAAAUUCAGGUAGUGAAACCCUUUCUUAUUUUAAAAGUUUACAUAUAAUAAUUAUCAUGAUUAAAAGCACUGGAGAUUAUAAAAUAAUAAAUAAAAAGAAUGUUAAAGUUUAUGAAUGAAAUCCACAAUCAACUAGAAAAUGUUAAUGAGACACAUGAGUUUAUAAGGUUAGAAGUUUGAUUAGGUAAGACAUUUGAGGGCAGUUGGCAAAGAAUCUGUAGAUUUUAUUCUGCCAUAAUUUAGUAGAGAUCAAACUGAGGUUGAAUCUGGAAGAUCAGAUCUCCCAGAAUGUGCCAUAAAGAUCAUCAGGUGUUAAGCAAUAUUUUUUUUUUACCUAACACAUGAUAUUUAUAUCGAGAUUACCUACAGUAUGGAAACAGGCCCUUCAGCUCAACAAGUCCACACUAAUCCUCUGAAAAGUACCCCCCCAGAC
This is a non-coding RNA of Chiloscyllium plagiosum (whitespotted bambooshark), 3797 nucleotides long. The record is from RefSeq and is a predicted model, not a curated record. Lineage: Eukaryota; Metazoa; Chordata; Chondrichthyes; Orectolobiformes; Hemiscylliidae.